GUGCUCGCUUGGGCAUCGCAUAUACUAAAAUUGAAAUGAUACAGAGAGUAUUAGCAUGGCUUCACCACUAGGAUGACACAAAUUCAUGAAACAUUCCUCAUUUUU
RNAcentral lists this small nuclear RNA (105 nucleotides) under Meriones unguiculatus (Mongolian gerbil). Lineage: Eukaryota; Metazoa; Chordata; Mammalia; Rodentia; Muridae. The record is from RNAcentral.